This is a long non-coding RNA of Aethalodelphis obliquidens (Pacific white-sided dolphin), 2508 nucleotides long. RefSeq lists it as uncharacterized. Lineage: Eukaryota; Metazoa; Chordata; Mammalia; Artiodactyla; Delphinidae. The record is from RefSeq and is a predicted model, not a curated record. The transcript is spliced from 4 exons.
UUAAUACAACUCACUUUUAAAUUUACGUAAUGAAUACUUUGUUUUGAGCUUAUUCAUUUUUUUGUUUGUUUCUUUUUUCGGUGUGUGGGUGUCUGCAGCACGGGAGAAUCUUCUCUGUUACUGGAGUGUACAACCUUCAAACACGGAAAUGUAAUAGCUAUAGCUAACAGGCCUACAUUGUUCCGCCGCAGCUGGGUAACGUUAGCAUAACUCCAAUCUCUGUUUUCCGUACAUAGUAGACACGUUAAAACACUGGGCUGAGAAAAAUACUGCAGUUAAAAUGAUUAUUAUGCUUUUUGUUUAGCGUAACUAGUUAGUUCUUUUAUUAUAACACCAAUUGCUGGGGGAAAGCGCGCACGCAGUCCCCCACUACCACAAAUUAUGCAGUCGAGUUUCUCCCAUUUGGAGAAAUCGCAGGCGUCAGCACACUCGCAGUGCAAUGAGUGAGCCUCAUCCUGGGAAAACCACCUUAGUGAUCAUGGUAUCUCCCCUGCCAGCCCGGGAAGUGGCUCGCCGGGAAUUGCACCCAUAAGCUGCAAGAUUUACAUAAGCCGAGCCCCAUUCCUGUCGGCUUCGGCGGCUCCUCUCCUCCAACCCCCGCCCUGUCCCCGCCCUGCCGAGAUGACCAAUGGGCGGGCCGGCUGCUGAAGUGGAAGUGACGUCACCAUGGCCGCCCACUUCGGGAGCCCACCAAGCCGAGAAUACAAGAAAUGAAGAUUCUGAAAAAGAAGCUGAUGACCAAGGGAUGAUAAGGGAUAGAAAGAUGACGUGUUUGCUUGAAGAGUGAGCAUGACUUGGACAGCUGGACUGAGAUUCUGCAGAGUGACCCCGUGACCCCAUGUGGCCUGCAUUUCCUUUUCUCAUGAGAGAUUUGCGUACUUUGGACUCUCCAAACCACAGACCAGGGUUUGGCUGCUGGUAAGGGAUCUGUGCCUAGCUCUGGGGAAACCUAGGGAGAAAGGAAAGACCCCCAGAAUCAAGGCAUGGGAGGCUGCUCUUGUGGGGAUAAAGGAGCCUGGAGGAUGAGAGAGGAGGCUGGGGUGUGUGUGUGUCCAGCAUGAGGUCAGGGGAAGUUCAAGAGAGGGCAGCUGCCAUUCUGGGACCAGAGGCUAGAACCUCCAUGGCAUUCACGCUCUGGUCAUCGUCCUCCUUAUUCUUCCUCAGCUUCCGCCUCCCCCUUCCUCGCCAUCCUCCCCUACCUUCUCCCCAGGCGUUUUUGUUCCCACUCCUCCUUCUUGUUCCUGCCCCUCUUGCUCCCAUCCUCCCAUCCCUUCCCCCCGACCCCCAGAGCAGGCCAACAUGGGAAGGGACUGCCCCAGUCUGAGAGGACGACGAGGGAGUAUCUUCCACCAGCCUGAGAAACACGAACACAUUGCUCUCUGGUCAGAACCUGGUUUGGAGGAGACAGAGCAAGAUGGCUCUGCCUGAGGAGCUCAUCCUCCACAGCCAACCCAGGCAGCACGGGCCUUAGGCCGACCCCGGGGAUGUGUGGCCAAAAGUCAGGAAGCUCUGGACAUGGAUUGCUGACAUCUGGUCCACAAGAUUCCAGACAAGUUAAUAUCUUGGUGCCUGCCUUCUUUACAAGGCAAGUUCCAAGGGAAGGACUGUGGCUCCCCUUCCUGGCCGCCUGGCGAAGGCACACAAGGAUCCCUCUGUUCAUGCAAGGGUGGGUCUGAGAAAACCCUCCCAUCUGUUCCACGGAGACCAGCUGAAAGUUCAUAGUUAAAAGUUAGUGGCGUCCCAGGUGCACUGACUCUACCACCACCUUCACCUCCUCCACCACGCACUCUUUGUCUCCGAUGAGAUUUCUACCAUCAGAGUCAGCCUUGGAGGGGGGAAAAGGCCACAUUUUGGGGAAAAAAAAAAAAAGAUCUAAAGAGACUAGUACUUGUGCAAUUGUAUGGACAGCAGUGAAGCACUCCUAGGGUUCUAAGCUGACUUUAUCUUGAUUCACUGGUCUAGAUUGUGCCUUCAGGUAGUGUCUUAUUUUAACUAAACUUUGUUGAAAUUAGAGAAGUUCUUUUCUUCAUAGUUCCAAUAUUAGUUGGCAUCUGAGUUAAUAGUUUUGUGACCAGCAGAAUAAUACUGUCUCCCCCAGGAUGUGCCUGCUGUAAUUCCCCCACCUGUUCAUAUAUUACACCACAUAAGAAAGGCAACUUUGCAGAUGUGAUUCGGGUAAAGACCUUGUGAUGAGAUUAUCUUGGGCCAUUCAGGUGGGCCCCAUGAAAUUACAUGGGGCCUUAGAAUUGAGAGGCAGAAAAGGUCAAAAUGGUGUGAAAUUAGAAGGACUCUACCUGCUGUUCUGGUUUUGAAGUUGUAGGAAGGGGUCAAAAGCCAAAGAAUGUGGGAGACGUCUAAAAACUUUCUAGGAAAGCAAGGAAAGAGAUUAUCCCUUACAGCCUCCAGAAGGUAAGGCAGUUCUGUUGACCCCUUGAUUUUAGUCCAGUGAGAUCUUUGUUGGACUCCUAACCUACAGAAUUGUAAUAUAAUAAAAGUGUGUUCUUUUAA